RNAcentral lists this ribosomal RNA (443 nucleotides) under uncultured Phenylobacterium sp. Its description in RNAcentral is "bacterial SSU rRNA". It matches the Rfam family "Bacterial small subunit ribosomal RNA", at positions 335 to 795 of the family's 1533-position model. Lineage: Bacteria; Pseudomonadati; Pseudomonadota; Alphaproteobacteria; Caulobacterales; Caulobacteraceae. The record is from RNAcentral.
UUGCCUACGGGUGGCUGCAGUAGGGAAUCUUGCGCAAUGGGCGAAAGCCUGACGCAGCCAUGCCGCGUGAAUGAUGAAGGUCUUAGGAUUGUAAAAUUCUUUCACCGGGGACGAUAAUGACGGUACCCGGAGAAGAAGCCCCGGCUAACUUCGUGCCAGCAGCCGCGGUAAUACGAAGGGGGCUAGCGUUGCCCGGAAUUACUGGGCGUAUAGGGAGCGUAGGCGGAUAGUUUAGUCAGAGGUGAAAGCCCAGGGCUCAACCUUGGAAUUGCCUUUGAUACUGGCUAUCUUGAGUAUGGAAGAGGUAUGUGGAACUCCGAGUGUAGAGGUGAAAUUCGUAGAUAUUCGGAAGAACACCAGUGGCGAAGGCGACAUACUGGUCCAUUACUGACGCUGAGGCUCGAAAGCGUGGGGAGCAAACAGGAUUAGAUACCCCAGUAGUC